RNAcentral lists this ribosomal RNA (462 nucleotides) under uncultured bacterium. Its description in RNAcentral is "partial 16S ribosomal RNA". It matches the Rfam family "Bacterial small subunit ribosomal RNA", at positions 29 to 523 of the family's 1533-position model. The record is from RNAcentral.
AAUGAACGCUGGCGGCAGGCUUAACACAUGCAAGUCGAACGCCCCGCAAGGGGAGUGGCGCACGGGUGAGGAACACGUGGGGAUCUGCCCUUCAGUUCGGAACAACACCGGGAAACUGGUGCUAAUACCGGAUAUACCUUUUGGUCUUGGCGACCGAUUGGGAAAGAUUUAUCGCUGAAGGAUGAACCCGCGUCUGAUUAGCUAGUUGGUGAGGUAACGGCUCACCAAGGCGACGAUCAGUAGCUGGUCUGAGAGGACGAUCAGCCACACUGGAACUGAGACACGGUCCAGACUCCUACGGGAGGCAGCAGUGGGGAAUAUUGGACAAUGGGCGAAAGCCUGAUCCAGCCAUGCCGCGUGAGUGAUGAAGGCCUUCGGGUUGUAAAGCUCUUUUAGAUGGGAAGAUAAUGACGGUACCAUCAGAAUAAGCCCCGGCUAACUUCGUGCCAGCCGCCGCAGUAA